GGAAUAGUGUAUUCUAGAAAGGCGGUUAAUUCAUUCUUCGGUCAAUGAAAAGUCACAAAUAUUUUCUCCAUUUUCUCUCUCUAAGUCCAUGAAUGAAUAAUGAUAAUUUUUUUAUUUUCAUCUCGAUUUCGUUAAGUUUACAUGGUAUCAGAGUAGGGAAUUUGCUUCCUGACGUCAUACGCUCUCCAACGAUCUUACCCUCGCCGAUUUCUGUUACUGAUUUUUUGGUCCCGGAGUUAGAAUCCACUUAGCCGGAGAUCUAGGAUAUCGUAAUCCAAUUUUUGACUCAUAUUUAAUUUGAGGUUUAUCGUUUCUAUCGAAGUUGUGUUCACCCAGGUAUCUCAGAAGUUGCUCAUUUUAUCAAUCUAGAUUUUUGUUUUGGCGUAUUCAAUGCAGUAAAGGCCAUCUUUUUUCCAUGAUAAGAAGAAGUUGGUUGCGCAUUUUGUGGAUCUAGGAUUUUUUAUUUUGGCAUUUUCAAUGUUGUAAAGGGCAUAUUCUUCUGGUGAUAAGAAGAAUUUGGCUCUUUCACUGAAGAGGCCAGUGGAACUUGGUAAUUUGGAUGUUAGACUCUAUAAGUUUCAGGAUUCUCAUGUUGCUGGUUCUCCAAGUGUCUCAAUUCCUACUAUUUGUAAUUUUGCAUUCCCUGUUUCAGUUCCUGUAUGUGUUUCUAAUAUACCAGAUAUUUUUGUCUCUCCAUUACCUGUUGUAAUUUCUUUGCCUUAUAAGAAUCACCUUGCAUCUGGUCCUUGUAAAUAUCAUUCUAAAUCUAAUAAAAUAGAGAUUUUAUGGCAUAACA
This is a long non-coding RNA of Capsicum annuum, 796 nucleotides long. RefSeq lists it as uncharacterized. NCBI's taxonomy places the organism in Eukaryota, Viridiplantae, Streptophyta, Magnoliopsida, Solanales, Solanaceae. The record is from RefSeq and is a predicted model, not a curated record. The transcript is spliced from 2 exons.